RNAcentral lists this ribosomal RNA (477 nucleotides) under uncultured Acidobacteriota bacterium. RNAcentral describes it as "bacterial SSU rRNA". It matches the Rfam family "Bacterial small subunit ribosomal RNA", at positions 224 to 704 of the family's 1533-position model. Lineage: Bacteria; Pseudomonadati; Acidobacteriota. The record is from RNAcentral.
GAGGAGCCCGCGGCCGAUUAGCUAGUUGGUGAGGUAACGGCUCACCAAGGCAAUGAUCGGUAGCUGGUCUGAGAGGAUGGCCAGCCACACUGGAACUGAGACACGGUCCAGACUCCUACGGGAGGCAGCAGUGGGGAAUCUUGCGCAAUGGGCGAAAGCCUGACGCAGCGACGCCGCGUGGGGGAUGAAGCUUCUCGGAGUGUAAACCCCUUUCGACCGGGACGAAUGCCCGGCAAGGGAGUGAACGGUACCGGUAGAAGAAGCCCCGGCUAACUACGUGCCAGCAGCCGCGGUAAGACGUAGGGGGCCAGCGUUGUUCGGAAUUACUGGGUGUAAAGGGUUCGUAGGCGGUGUGGCAAGUCGGGAGUGAAAUUUCUGGGCUUAACUCAGAGACUGCUUCCGAAACUGCUGUGCUGGAGUGUGGGAGAGGCGCGUGGAAUUGCAGGUGUAGCGGUGAAAUGCGUAGAUAUCUGCAGG